RNAcentral lists this ribosomal RNA (427 nucleotides) under uncultured bacterium. Its description in RNAcentral is "partial 16S ribosomal RNA". It matches the Rfam family "Bacterial small subunit ribosomal RNA", at positions 355 to 774 of the family's 1533-position model. The record is from RNAcentral.
UGGGGAAUAUUGGACAAUGGGCGAAAGCCUGAUCCAGCCAUGCCGCGUGUGUGAAGAAGGUCUUCGGAUUGUAAAGCACUUUAAGUUGGGAGGAAGGGCAUUAACCUAAUACGUUAGUGUUUUGACGUUACCGACAGAAUAAGCACCGGCUAACUCUGUGCCAGCAGCCGCGGUAAUACAGAGGGUGCAAGCGUUAAUCGGAAUUACUGGGCGUAAAGCGCGCGUAGGUGGUUUGUUAAGUUGGAUGUGAAAUCCCCGGGCUCAACCUGGGAACUGCAUUCAAAACUGACUGACUAGAGUAUGGUAGAGGGUGGUGGAUUUUCCUGUGUAGCGGUGAAAUGCGUAGAUAUAGGAAGGAACACCAGUGGCGAAGGCGACCACCUGGACUAAUACUGACACUGAGGUGCGAAAGCGUGGGGAGCAAACA